RNAcentral lists this ribosomal RNA (468 nucleotides) under uncultured bacterium. RNAcentral describes it as "partial 16S ribosomal RNA". It matches the Rfam family "Bacterial small subunit ribosomal RNA", at positions 28 to 507 of the family's 1533-position model. The record is from RNAcentral.
GACGAACGCUGGCGGCGUGCUUAACACAUGCAAGUCGAACGGAAAGGCCCUGCUUUUGUGGGGUGCUCGAGUGGCGAACGGGUGAGUAACACGUGAGCAACCUGCCCUUGACUUUGGGAUAACUUCAGGAAACUGGGGCUAAUACCGGAUAGGAGCUCCUGCUGCAUGGUGGGGGUUGGAAAGUUUCGGCGGUUGGGGAUGGACUCGCGGCUUAUCAGCUUGUUGGUGGGGUAGUGGCUUACCAAGGCUUUGACGGGUAGCCGGCCUGAGAGGGUGACCGGCCACAUUGGGACUGAGAUACGGCCCAGACUCCUACGGGAGGCAGCGGUGGGGAAUAUUGCACAAUGGGCGGAAGCCUGAUGCAGCAACGCCGCGUGCGGGAUGACGGCCUUCGGGUUGUAAACCGCUUUCGCCUGUGACGAAGCGUGAGUGACGGUAAUGGGUAAAGAAGCACCGGCUAACUACGUG